GGGUUGUGAGGUUAAGCGACUAAGCGUACACGGUGGAUGCCCUGGCAGUCAGAGGCGAUGAAGGACGUGCUAAUCUGCGAUAAGCGUCGGUAAGGUGAUAUGAACCGUUAUAACCGGCGAUUUCCGAAUGGGGAAACCCAGUGUGAUUCGUCACACUAUCAUUAACUGAAUCCAUAGGUUAAUGAGGCGAACCGGGGGAACUGAAACAUCUAAGUACCCCGAGGAAAAGAAAUCAACCGAGAUUCCCCCAGUAGCGGCGAGCGAACGGGGAGCAGCCCAGAGCCUGAAUCAGUGUGUGUGUUAGUGGAAGCGUCUGGAAAGGCGCGCGAUACAGGGUGACAGCCCCGUACACAAAAAUGCACAUGCUGUGAGCUCGAUGAGUAGGGCGGGACACGUGGUAUCCUGUCUGAAUAUGGGGGGACCAUCCUCCAAGGCUAAAUACUCCUGACUGACCGAUAGUGAACCAGUACCGUGAGGGAAAGGCGAAAAGAACCCCGGCGAGGGGAGUGAAAAAGAACCUGAAACCGUGUACGUACAAGCAGUGGGAGCACAGAGCAAUCUGUGUGACUGCGUACCUUUUGUAUAAUGGGUCAGCGACUUAUAUUCUGUAGCAAGGUUAACCGAAUAGGGGAGCCGAAGGGAAACCGAGUCUUAACUGGGCGUUAAGUUGCAGGGUAUAGACCCGAAACCCGGUGAUCUAGCCAUGGGCAGGUUGAAGGUUGGGUAACACUAACUGGAGGACCGAACCGACUAAUGUUGAAAAAUUAGCGGAUGACUUGUGGCUGGGGGUGAAAGGCCAAUCAAACCGGGAGAUAGCUGGUUCUCCCCGAAAGCUAUUUAGGUAGCGCCUCGUGAAUUCAUCUCCGGGGGUAGAGCACUGUUUCGGCAAGGGGGUCAUCCCGACUUACCAACCCGAUGCAAACUGCGAAUACCGGAGAAUGUUAUCACGGGAGACACACGGCGGGUGCUAACGUCCGUCGUGAAGAGGGAAACAACCCAGACCGCCAGCUAAGGUCCCAAAGUCAUGGUUAAGUGGGAAACGAUGUGGGAAGGCCCAGACAGCCAGGAUGUUGGCUUAGAAGCAGCCAUCAUUUAAAGAAAGCGUAAUAGCUCACUGGUCGAGUCGGCCUGCGCGGAAGAUGUAACGGGGCUAAACCAUGCACCGAAGCUGCGGCAGCGACGCUGAUGCGUUGUUGGGUAGGGGAGCGUUCUGUAAGCCUGUGAAGGUGUACUGUGAGGUAUGCUGGAGGUAUCAGAAGUGCGAAUGCUGACAUAAGUAACGAUAAAGCGGGUGAAAAGCCCGCUCGCCGGAAGACCAAGGGUUCCUGUCCAACGUUAAUCGGGGCAGGGUGAGUCGACCCCUAAGGCGAGGCCGAAAGGCGUAGUCGAUGGGAAACAGGUUAAUAUUCCUGUACUUGGUGUUACUGCGAAGGGGGGACGGAGAAGGCUAUGUUGGCCGGGCGACGGUUGUCCCGGUUUAAGCGUGUAGGCUGGUUUUCCAGGCAAAUCCGGAAAAUCAAGGCUGAGGCGUGAUGACGAGGCACUACGGUGCUGAAGCAACAAAUGCCCUGCUUCCAGGAAAAGCCUCUAAGCAUCAGGUAACAUCAAAUCGUACCCCAAACCGACACAGGUGGUCAGGUAGAGAAUACCAAGGCGCUUGAGAGAACUCGGGUGAAGGAACUAGGCAAAAUGGUGCCGUAACUUCGGGAGAAGGCACGCUGAUAUGUAGGUGAAGUCCCUCGCGGAUGGAGCUGAAAUCAGUCGAAGAUACCAGCUGGCUGCAACUGUUUAUUAAAAACACAGCACUGUGCAAACACGAAAGUGGACGUAUACGGUGUGACGCCUGCCCGGUGCCGGAAGGUUAAUUGAUGGGGUCAGCGCAAGCGAAGCUCUUGAUCGAAGCCCCGGUAAACGGCGGCCGUAACUAUAACGGUCCUAAGGUAGCGAAAUUCCUUGUCGGGUAAGUUCCGACCUGCACGAAUGGCGUAAUGAUGGCCAGGCUGUCUCCACCCGAGACUCAGUGAAAUUGAACUCGCUGUGAAGAUGCAGUGUACCCGCGGCAAGACGGAAAGACCCCGUGAACCUUUACUAUAGCUUGACACUGAACAUUGAGCCUUGAUGUGUAGGAUAGGUGGGAGGCUUUGAAGUGUGGACGCCAGUCUGCAUGGAGCCGACCUUGAAAUACCACCCUUUAAUGUUUGAUGUUCUAACGUUGACCCGUAAUCCGGGUUGCGGACAGUGUCUGGUGGGUAGUUUGACUGGGGCGGUCUCCUCCUAAAGAGUAACGGAGGAGCACGAAGGUUGGCUAAUCCUGGUCGGACAUCAGGAGGUUAGUGCAAUGGCAUAAGCCAGCUUGACUGCGAGCGUGACGGCGCGAGCAGGUGCGAAAGCAGGUCAUAGUGAUCCGGUGGUUCUGAAUGGAAGGGCCAUCGCUCAACGGAUAAAAGGUACUCCGGGGAUAACAGGCUGAUACCGCCCAAGAGUUCAUAUCGACGGCGGUGUUUGGCACCUCGAUGUCGGCUCAUCACAUCCUGGGGCUGAAGUAGGUCCCAAGGGUAUGGCUGUUCGCCAUUUAAAGUGGUACGCGAGCUGGGUUUAGAACGUCGUGAGACAGUUCGGUCCCUAUCUGCCGUGGGCGCUGGAGAACUGAGGGGGGCUGCUCCUAGUACGAGAGGACCGGAGUGGACGCAUCACUGGUGUUCGGGUUGUCAUGCCAAUGGCACUGCCCGGUAGCUAAAUGCGGAAGAGAUAAGUGCUGAAAGCAUCUAAGCACGAAACUUGCCCCGAGAUGAGUUCUCCCUGACUCCUUGAGAGUCCUGAAGGAACGUUGAAGACGACGACGUUGAUAGGCCGGGUGUGUAAGCGCAGCGAUGCGUUGAGCUAACCGGUACUAAUGAACCGUGAGGCUUAACCUUACAACGCCGAAGGUGUUU
This 2933-nucleotide ribosomal RNA is filed under the name Escherichia coli. RNAcentral's name for it is "23S ribosomal RNA". It matches the Rfam family "Bacterial large subunit ribosomal RNA". Lineage: Bacteria; Pseudomonadati; Pseudomonadota; Gammaproteobacteria; Enterobacterales; Enterobacteriaceae. The record is from RNAcentral.